Vespa crabro (European hornet) is the source of this 5900-nucleotide RNA transcript. It is a transcript of the gene named protein wntless, with no coding region annotated. The record is from RefSeq and is a predicted model, not a curated record. Lineage: Eukaryota; Metazoa; Arthropoda; Insecta; Hymenoptera; Vespidae. The transcript is spliced from 13 exons.
AAUAGAAUUGCGCCGGUUUUGCUUGGAGUCCUGUAAAUGGAGGGGCCAAUAAACUUAAGUUCUUGGCAAACGCUUCUGUUCGAUACGAUUUUAUGCAUAAAGGAAAGCUUUUUGCCCAUUGAUACGGUUUACCGUAAUAAAACGGCGAGACAAUGCAGGGUACAAUUAUAGAAAAUUUAAGCGGCAAGAAACUUUCGGUAUUGGUAAUAUUAUUAAUCGUUGCACAAAUCGUUUGCUUUUUAAUAGGCGGCCUAAUAGCACCAACACCUGCUACAAGUCAAAAUAUAUUAAGUACACCUUGUAAGGAUAUACGAAUUAAUGGAACUGAACCUGGUGCAGGAAAAUGGUUUUAUUCAAGGGGCAAAGGUUCUUGUACUCAUGUUGAUAUAAAUCAUUUUAGUUUGGAUAGCCAUCAUCAAGCACAUCAGGUGGUCUAUACAUUUCAGAUGCCUUCUCCACGUAGUAGCUUGCAAUUGGAUUAUUCUAGAUGGCAACAAAAUCUUAUAGGAGUCUUACAGGUGGAUAUUGUAUAUCACAGUCAAAUUCAAAUUGCACCUAGAACUAAAAUAACUCUGGAUUCAAGACUUGCUUAUAGGAACAAAGAAGAUCCAGAUGGUGCAUGGAAGCCAUACGCUUCUUCUAUAAUAGAAAGGAUCUUGGAUUGUAGCAUCGAUGAUGCAAUGGAACAAUAUAACUAUAAUUGCAAUGUUGUACCUUUGUUUGAAUUAGGAUCGUUGUUUCAUGAUUAUUAUUUGUUGAAUAUUCGUAUUCCUGCUGAUACUGAUAGGAACAUUAAUCAAGGUUUAGGACAUAUAACAGAUCUGUGGCUUACUGCCAUUAAUCAAAAUGGUGGAUUUACAAAAGUAUGGGUAAGCCUUAAAACUGUUUUUUUCCCGAUUGUAGUCAGUGUUUUGAUAUGGUACUGGAGAAGAGUUCAUAUGUUAUCAAGAUCACCUGCCCUUUUGGAAUAUAUGCUCUUGGCUUUAGGAAUGGCAUUAACAUUUUUAAAUUUGCCUGUGGAAUAUUUAACUCUUGCAUAUGAUAUGCCAUUUAUGCUUCUUUUGGGCGAUAUCAGGCAAGGAAUAUUUUAUGCAACGCUUUUAUCUUUUUGGCUUGUCUUUGCCGGGGAACAUCUUAUGAUUCAGGAGGGUGACCAAAGAAAUUCUUUAAAAUGUUAUUGGCGUCAUUUAUCUGCUGUGGGUAUAGGAUGCUUGUCAUUGUUUAUCUUUGAUAUGUGUGAACGUGGAGUACAAUUAAGAAAUCCAUUCUAUUCAAUAUGGGUCACAGAUCUUGGUACUAAAAUGGCAUUAUCUUUUAUAAUUUUGGCUGGAAUAUCAGCUGGUGUAUAUUUGAUAUUUUUAACUUAUAUGAUAUGGAAAGUCUUUAUGAAUAUAAGUGCAAAAAGAGCUACUUUACCAGUUAUGAGUUCGGCACGUCGUUUACAUUACGAAGGUGUGAUAUAUCGUUUCAAGUUUUUAAUGAUUGCUACAUUAUUAUGUGCUUCAUUAACUGUUAUCGGAUUUAUUCUUGGUCAGGUUGCAGAAGGACAAUGGAAAUGGGAUGAGGAAAUAGAAUUACAAAUGACAUCUGCCUUUUUCACUGGAGUUUAUGGCAUGUGGAACAUUUAUACUAUUGCAUUAUUAUGUCUGUAUGCACCAUCUCAUAAACAGUGGCCGAUCGAACCAUCUGUUUGGAUCGUUCAACCAUUUUGGAACAUUCGACAAGCUAAGCGAGACUCUUAUCUAUCUUCAUGUUAUACGUAAUGUUAUUAUUUUGUUUAUCGUUUUUCUAAACGUUGAUACAUAUUUAAGUUAACGUCGCUAAUAUAACGUAACAUAAUGUAAUGCAUGAUGGAUUUUACAUUAGUUAUUGAAAUGGGCGUUUAUUUGGCAAUAUUGUUGCUUACAAAAUCUUCAAUCGAUUGAUUUUUUUCACGCUAUGAAACAUAAUGCAUUCUACGGUAUUCAAUUGAGAUCAAAUAUAAAUAAAUUGUCUUCAAUCUGAAGAGAAAAUACACGGAAACGUGUUUUUUUCCAUAUCGUGCUGAAGUCAAUUUCUCCACUAUUUUUGGUAAGUCAUUGAACGAUUUAAAUUAAAAAUAUAUAUUACAUUUGCAUAACGUUGCAUUAUUCAUUAUUUAUUAAAAGUACGGAUCGGUAUUCAGAUCGAAAUCAUACCUAAAAUGUUCGAUUCUUAUUGUAAAAAAAAUGAAACGUUUCUUCGUGUAUAAAAUGAAAAGAAAUAUCGUAUAAGAAUAUCGUUAAGUAGAAUGGAUAAAAUUAUUUGUCAGUAAAAUUAAGGUGUAAAAAAUUUCGAGAAUCAAGUCAACAUCGAUAUAACAUGACACCGAGAAGCUUGAAAAGCCCGCCUCUAUUGAAACAAGAUGGCGAUUAGAACGGUUCGAGCGCCAUCUCGUCGUGGCAGAGCGAAAGAGAAAGAAAGAGAGAGAGAGAGCGAGAGUGGAAUGACGUGAGGGGAGGGGUAAGAAGGAGAGUCCAGUACGUCGAGGAGAGAGCAGUAUCGCAGAUGCAGUGAAGUCGUCCGUAGGUUGACAGGUUGUGCGUGAAUACAUAUGUAAGGUGGAAAAUGGGUACUAGUCCCGUCUUCCUUUUUCCUGCCAUCAAGCCAUCCCUGUACGUUUUCCUCGCAGGAAGUAACAACGAGAGAAGGGCUCUAUCGCGGACGACAAAGAGACGUUGAAGUCACGAUAUAUACAAAAAGGGUGCCUCAAUCGUAAUUCGAACGACGAUAUGAUACAGUCAAUGCGACGAAAAUUCAUGCGAUCGACCACUGUGAAGAUACAACAAAACUUAAUUGAAAACCCGUGAUUGUUCGAAGUCUCAUCAUCAUUGCAUCUUCGAAUUACAUAAGAUGUCAUAUGUGUUUUUGGAUGUUCCAUGAAAUAUUGGAAAAGAAAAAACAAAAAAAAAAAAAAAAUAAAACAAAAAAAAAAGUUCAAACGAUCUUGUCGGGAGAUUCGACGGUAUUCACUGAGAAAAAUAUUUCGAGAUAUAGUUUACGAGAAGGUGAUGGGGGAGGGGUGGAGGUUGUGGAUAGUUGGGGGGAGGGGGACUUGUGGGAGUGUUGGAUAGGAUCGGGGAAAAGGGGAAAAGUAGGUAAAGCAAUCGAUAAACUGUGAUCUGCUAAUUUCUGUAUCGAAUCAUUAUACAAAAAGGAAAAAAAAAAAAAAAAUAGAAAAUUAAACAUCCUAUCAAGUCUGUAAUAAUAUUCGCUAUUGUGCAUAACUAUUAAGAUGCAUUUCAUUAAGGCAAAUGAUUGUUUCAUUUUUUCUUUUUUCUUUUCUUUGUCGCGAAUUAUAAAAAAAAAAAAAAAAACAAAAAAAAAAAAAAAAAAUACAAUAUUUGUAACAUCUUCCACGUCGUAUAGUAAAAAUCAAGCCAUUUUCGGAUAAACAGGAUAGUUAUAUCAUAUUACCGGAGUCUCCUUUUUGCAUAAAAGAAAAAAUAUUGAUAUUUUUUGAGAAUGAAAAAUAAUUCCCGAAGCACAUUUCUAAAAAAUUUUCAAAGAUCACUCGAAGGUGUUUUAGGCCCUUGGAUGUUUUUGCAUAGUCGUUAUAUACUUUUUAUCAAUCGAAUGCUUUAAGUAUUUGAGAAUCCUUGAUAAUGUUGAGAAACCUCAGGGAUCUUAUGUUCAGUAUCUCAAAGAUUUUUCGUGAUAAGAAUUGAAAGCAUGGGCAAGAUGUGUUACCGAAGGGAAAGAAUAUAUACAUAUAUAUAUAUAUAUAUAUAUUACGUGAGGUAUAAAAAUAGUCAAUUUUUUCUAAUUGGUAAAGAAAAUUUGGAAAAAAGAAAAAUGAAUAAUAUAGGAUAUUAAUGCCAAAAACAGAGCAGAUUCGAUUUGAAAACCGAAUAUGUACAAAUUAUGGUGCACAAUAAUCGUUGACGGAUAAUAGUAUUUUGUUCUAAACUGAUCUCUCCUCUUUGUUUAAUUCAAGUUCAAUAAAAGCAAAAAAAAAAAAACAAAAAAACGAAAAAAAAAACAAAAAAAAAAAAGAAAUGAUUAACUUUAUACGAGAGACACGUAUAGCCAUGGUAUUUUAGUGCCUUUCGUGGGCAGAGAAAUGUGCCUUAUUCUAUGGGUCUCAUGAAAGAAUUGCUUACAAAAACUAAUAAGAAGAACGAGAUAAUUGUUCUAUGUUAAUUGAUUCUGUUAUUUUACAUUUUUUACGUUAUUUAAAUUGCUUGCUAAAUUGUAGUGUGAUAUAUCAUUAUUGGCAAUUUAAUUAUGAAUUAGUCGUACGCUAUAUGAACAUUUCUAACAUUAUAAUAGAUAUUUUAUAUUGAUUCUAUUUAAUGUGAUAAUUAAAAAAUUGAAUUGAAAUGAAAAUAAGAAAUUGUAUUUAUGCUCGGAGUAAUUUUUUGAAAUUCAUUAUUGAAGCUUAUAUAAAAACGGAGAGAGAGCUAUUAUUAAAAGAAUGAAAAGAUAAUUCAAUUAAAAUUUUGUCGUGUUUAUUUUUGAAAUAUAAAAACAACGCGUAGAUUCAUUUCAUUUUAUUAAUUUUUAUCACACACACACACACACACAUACACACACAAAUAUUAUAAUAAAUUUAGAGUAAUAUUAUUAUAUUAUAUUGCUUCUCUCUUAUGUGAGUGCAUCCAUCGAAGUGGAUUUUUGAUUUUAUUUAUGAGCGCAUAACUCUUUGUUGAUAUAUGUAAUCAAUUCGAAGGAAAAAAGAAAAAGAAAAAGCAAAAAAAAAGAAAGAAAAGAAAAAAAAAUUAAUAAUUGGAAAAAAUGAUUUUAUACAUCGAUCGAAAAAUAAAAUUUGAUAAAAUUUCUUAUAUUCGCAUUAACAAUUAAACUCCAUAUAUGUAUGUCGUAUAUUUUUCAUCCAACGUGGAUUGCGCUCAUAUUUUAAGCUUUAUAUUUUGCCUUUCGUAUAAGGAAAAACAAAUGGAUAUUACUCGACCUUAUUAUAAAAAUUAAUUAUUUAAGACCUUCGUGAGUAUGGAAUCAUUAUCGAUGAUUUAUUUUCACGGUGACGCGAACGGCAAUGUGUAAUUCGUUAUUUUGAAAUGUCGAUUAUUAAGAGAUUAAGUAGACGAAUAUGGCUUUAUACUUUUUGGAAAUAUCAUAUAAAAAUAGAUUUCUUUUAUUUUUUAUUAUUAUUACUAUUAUUAUUAUUAUUAUUAUUAUUAUUAUUAUUAUUAUUAUUAAUAUUAAUAUUAUUAUUAUUAUUAUUAUUAUUAUUAUUAUUAUUAUUAUUAUUAUUAUUAUUAUUAUUAUUAUGAAUAUUUCUUUUUUUUUGUUGUUCUAAAUUAUACGCCGUCUUAUUUUUGCUGUUAUUUCUAUUGCAUUUUGUCAUUGUACGUUGAUAUAUGUUACAAAAUUGGAUAAAAACCAUAUGCGUUAUUAGGAAGAUUUGCUGCAUUUGUCGUCUUUGCACCUGUGUCCAUCCUAAAUGCAAAUUUGACGAAAAGCGAAGAAAAUAUUAUUACAUCGGGAAAUAAUUUGAAAAUAAAUGUCAAGAGAGGGAAAGUUAUGAGAGACGAUUAUAAAAAUGUGUAUUAGAAUGUACAUUAUAAUUUCUUUCGUAUCAUUUCUAAUGUUGAAUGUUUUCUUUGUGCGUUAUUACGAUACAUAGUUGCUUUUAUAUGUCAAUUUAUUUUCACAUUCUCAACGUGAAUGUCAAUUAAUUUUAUAUUAUUGAGAGAUUUCAUUGAAAACGAGAAAGAAAACACAUUACGGAGUAUUUGCGUCUAAUCAACAGGUCGAAGUGAUCGAGGUGAAGUCACGUUUUAAGAUCUCAUAUUAUCAUUAUACAUGUAUCAUAGAAUUAACUAGAUAUGUAUAGUAGUUAUCAUAUUCGCAUGACUCUACUGAAAAUAUGUAGUUUUUACUAACGAAUGUUCAUUUAAGUAAACGAAUAGUUUUAAUAA